RNAcentral lists this ribosomal RNA (450 nucleotides) under uncultured bacterium. RNAcentral's name for it is "bacterial SSU rRNA". It matches the Rfam family "Bacterial small subunit ribosomal RNA", at positions 29 to 458 of the family's 1533-position model. The record is from RNAcentral.
AACGAACGCUGGCGGCGUGGAUAAGACAUGCAAGUCGAACGCUUAUUUACCUGUAGCAAUACAGGUGAGUAGGAGUGGCGCAAGGGUGCGUAACACGUGGGUAAUUUGCCGUGAAGACCGGGAUAACUUGCUGAAAGGCGAGCUAAUACCGGAUGUGGAAAUUGGAAGGCAUCUUUUGAUUUCUGAAGCUGGGGACCGCAAGGCCUGGCACUUUACGAUAAGCCCGCGGCCUAUCAGCUAGUUGGUGAGGUAACGGCUCACCAAGGCUAAGACGGGUAGCUGGUCUGAGAGGACGACCAGCACACUGGAACUGAGACACGGUCCAGACACCUACGGGUGGCAGCAGUCGAGAAUUUUUCUCAAUGGGCGAAAGCCUGAAGGAGCGACGCCGCGUGGGGGAUGAAGGGUUUCGAUCCGUAAACCCCUGUCAUUUGCGAACAAACCCUGUGG